This 1257-nucleotide long non-coding RNA is filed under the name Equus caballus (horse). RNAcentral describes it as "lncRNA (ENSECAG00000036023.3)". Lineage: Eukaryota; Metazoa; Chordata; Mammalia; Perissodactyla; Equidae. The record is from RNAcentral.
CAGAGAGAGGGGAGCUGGAACAUGUUAGGGCCCCCGAAAGCCAAGAUACCCCAGAGCCCAGGAAUCUGAGAAGAGUCCACGUUGAGGGCAGCGUUCGCCUGCGUUCUCUGCCAAGGGGCUGUGGAUUUCGGGACUGAGCACCGUGUCCCGGGACCUCAUCCCCAGGAGGCAGGGCCAUGGGACAGCCCCCAGCGCCAGCCGUGUGGAAUGUGCCACUCUUGGAACUGAGGCUCUCGGUUUUUAAAAUUGGCUUGUAAAUCUCCGUGUAGUUUUCAGGCUUUAGGAAUUUUAUUUUAUCUGGAUUAAAGUCAUGUUCUGCUUUGGCAUAGGAAGGCGUUUAUGACUGUUAAAACAAGAAAUGAAAAAUAUAGGCCUGCAAUCAGCCGGGCUGCCUCCUGCCAGAGUCUAGGGAUUUGUCUUGGGGGCCAGGCUGAAGGUUUGCUGCCCUUCUCCCCGCACUGCUCUGUGUUUCUCCAGAAAGCUGGAGCUGGCUGCCUGGGAGCGGCUGUCGCGAUGGCUGGGAGGGCCUCAGGAACGAAGCCUUUGUCUUUGCUCAGGUGUGUUCUCACAAUGGGGAGCCACGGCCCUCCCCAAGGACCAGCGAGCAAUGGGCGCAUCUCAUUCGCUGCCUGCAUUUGCCCCCGCCCAUCCAAGAGAGCAGAAUCAGAGAGGGUGUCCUAGGCAAAUGGAGAACAUUAAGAAGUCACUGCACAGCCGAGCAUAACAUGCCUCGCUCUCUUUCACACAGACACACCAAGUCAGCAUUUCAAUUCAAGAAAGCUCCCAAGACAGAGGUGACACAGAAACACACUUUGGGGGGAAACUUCCCCCUUCCCUGGAAUAGGAUACCAUAUGUGUGACUCCCUCUCAGGGUCAGUAUGGCUGGAACAUGCCAUUUCUCCUCUAUCCAGUUACCCUACAUUCGACUCUGUCACUGUGACACCAUAUGCUGCCGGAACAACACAUCCUCAUUCCUUGGAAUAAAAAGGUCUUUCAUAAGACUUAUUAAGUCUGAAUCUUAAUCAUAGUCAUCAUUAUUCAGUCUGCUUGCUGUCCACAAUAUUGAAAUGAAGGGAAACAAGAAAUAGAAAAAGACAAGUUUACAAUCUUCAAGACACCAAUGAAUAAGAAACGAUGGCGAAGAAAGCAAGAGUGACCUCAAAAAAAGAAACGUCUUAAAGUGUAAAAAAAAAAAAUCCACAAAUAGACUCUUAGCUUUCAAUAUUAGUCUUUACUUUAAAAAUAAGGGGAGGGAUG